GAAUUGAGGGGGGCUGCUCCUAGUACGAGAGGACCGGAGUGGACGCAUCACUGGUGUUCGGGUUGUCAUGCCAAUGGCACUGCCCGGUAGCUAAAUGCGGAAGAGAUAAGUGCUGAAAGCAUCUAAGCACGAAACUUGCCCCGAGAUGAGUUCUCCCUGAGACUAUAAGUCUCCUGAAGGAACGUUGAAGACGACGACGUUGAUAGGCCGGGUGUGUAAGCGCAGCGAUGCGUUGAGCUAACCGGUACUAAUGAACCGUGAGGCUUAACCUU
Molecule: ribosomal RNA, 272 nt
Filed under: Acinetobacter baumannii
Lineage: Bacteria; Pseudomonadati; Pseudomonadota; Gammaproteobacteria; Moraxellales; Moraxellaceae
Description: partial 23S ribosomal RNA
Rfam family: Bacterial large subunit ribosomal RNA
Source: RNAcentral